AGUGAGCGCUGGCGGUAGGCCUAACACAUGCAAGUCGAACGGCAGCACAGUAAGAGCUUGCUCUUACGGGUGGCGAGUGGCGGACGGGUGAGGAAUACAUCGGAAUCUACUUUUUCGUGGGGGAUAACGUAGGGAAACUUACGCUAAUACCGCAUACGACCUACGGGUGAAAGCAGGGGAUCUUCGGACCUUGCGCGAUUGAAUGAGCCGAUGUCGGAUUAGCUAGUUGGCGGGGUAAAGGCCCACCAAGGCGACGAUCCGUAGCUGGUCUAAGAGGAUGAUCAGCCACACUGGAACUGAGACACGGUCCAGACUCCUACGGGAGGCAGCAGUGGGGAAUAUUGGACAAUGGGCGCAAGCCUGAUCCAGCCAUACCGCGUGGGUGAAGAAGGCCUUCGGGUUGUAAAGCCCUUUUGUUGGGAAAGAAAAGCAGCAGGUUAAUACCCCGCUGUUCUGACGGUACCCAAAGAAUAAGCACCGGCUAACUUCGUG
Molecule: ribosomal RNA, 492 nt
Filed under: uncultured bacterium
Lineage: Bacteria
Description: partial 16S ribosomal RNA
Rfam family: Bacterial small subunit ribosomal RNA
Source: RNAcentral